Molecule: ribosomal RNA, 301 nt
Filed under: uncultured bacterium
Lineage: Bacteria
Description: partial 16S ribosomal RNA
Rfam family: Bacterial small subunit ribosomal RNA
Source: RNAcentral
CAGUAGCCGCGGUAAUACGUAGGGUCCGAGCGUUGUCCGGAAUUAUUGGGCGUAAAGGGUGCGUAGGCGGCCCCGCAAGUCUUGUGUGAAAUCCUCAAGCUCAACUUGAGGCCUGCACGAGAAACUGCUGGGCUGGAGUAUGGGAGAGGUGAGUGGAAUUCCUGGUGUAGCGAUGAAAUGCGUAGAUAUCAGGAGGAACACCUGUGGCGAAAGCGGCUCACUGGACCAUAACUGACGCUGAGGCACGAAAGCUAGGGGAGCAAACAGGAUUAGAUACCCCCGUAGUCCCUGUCUCUUAUAC